RNAcentral lists this ribosomal RNA (465 nucleotides) under uncultured bacterium. Its description in RNAcentral is "partial 16S ribosomal RNA". It matches the Rfam family "Bacterial small subunit ribosomal RNA", at positions 28 to 507 of the family's 1533-position model. The record is from RNAcentral.
GAUGAACGCUGGCGGCGUGCUUAACACAUGCAAGUCGAACGGAAAGGCCUCUGCUUGCAGGGGUACUCGAGUGGCGAACGGGUGAGUAACACGUGGGUGAUCUGCCCUGCACUUCGGGAUAAGCCUGGGAAACUGGGUCUAAUACCGGAUAGGACAAUGGUUUGGAUGCCGUUGUGGAAAGUUUUUCGGUGUGGGAUGAGCUCGCGGCCUAUCAGCUUGUUGGUGGGGUAAUGGCCUACCAAGGCGUCGACGGGUAGCCGGCCUGAGAGGGUGUACGGCCACAUUGGGACUGAGAUACGGCCCAGACUCCUACGGGAGGCAGCAGUGGGGAAUAUUGCACAAUGGGCGCAAGCCUGAUGCAGCGACGCCGCGUGGGGGAUGACGGCCGUCGGGUUGUAAACUCCUUUCGCUAGGGACGAAGCGCAAGUGACGGUACCUGGAGAAGAAGCACCGGCUAACUACGUG